This 424-nucleotide ribosomal RNA is filed under the name Verrucomicrobiota bacterium. Its description in RNAcentral is "Verrucomicrobia bacterium partial 16S ribosomal RNA". It matches the Rfam family "Bacterial small subunit ribosomal RNA", at positions 355 to 776 of the family's 1533-position model. Lineage: Bacteria; Pseudomonadati; Verrucomicrobiota. The record is from RNAcentral.
UGAGGAAUAUUGGUCAAUGGGCGAGAGCCUGAACCAGCCAAGUAGCGUGCAGGAUGACGGCCCUAUGGGUUGUAAACUGCUUUUAUAUGGGAAUAAAGUGAGGGACGUGUCCCUUAUUGCAUGUACCAUAUGAAUAAGGACCGGCUAAUUCCGUGCCAGCAGCCGCGGUAAUACGGAAGGUCCAGGCGUUAUCCGGAUUUAUUGGGUUUAAAGGGAGCGUAGGCUGUUUGUUAAGCGUGUUGUGAAAUGUAAGAGCUCAACUUUUGGAUUGCAGCGCGAACUGGCAGACUUGAGUGCGCACAACGUAGGCGGAAUUCAUGGUGUAGCGGUGAAAUGCUUAGAUAUCAUGACGAACUCCGAUUGCGAAGGCAGCUUACGGGAGCGCAACUGACGCUAAAGCUCGAAGGUGCGGGUAUCGAACAGG